Aquila chrysaetos chrysaetos is the source of this 348-nucleotide long non-coding RNA. RefSeq lists it as uncharacterized. Lineage: Eukaryota; Metazoa; Chordata; Aves; Accipitriformes; Accipitridae. The transcript is spliced from 2 exons. The record is from RefSeq and is a predicted model, not a curated record.
CACAGUAUGCAGUUCUGGCUAAGCAAAGCAAGAAGGAAGCUAUAGAACUUCAAAAUGUUUUUGACUUUGCUGUGAAUUUACAGUGGGACAGUGCAGCAGCAAGCAAAGGGAACAGUGAACAGCAUCCAGAGCAAGCACCAAAUGAAGAAAUGGGGAAAAACAGAGACAAGUAAAGGCAUGUGGAAAAGGAAGCAACACAGAUGUGGUUAAGCAGGUGAAUGGCGGUGUGAUGCAGAGCGCUGUGUAGCACUGCUGGCCAGGGAAGGUCUCCAGGAAACAUGAGUAGUGUCAUCAUGGCACACUGAUGACUAUGCCUCCUCCAUGUCAGGUAAAGUAACACAGAUUAGA